CGAACACCCACAAGCCCCCCUCUGAUGCCACCCGCGGCUCCUCCGCACCCAGCCAUGCAUUUUUCAAAAUUAUUUUUUAAAAAUAAUAUUUUAUCAUUAUUUUAAAAAUAAUAUUUUUUUUCAAAAUAAUUUAUUAUUUUUUGUAAAAAAUAAUGAAUAAUAAUAAAUAAAUAUUUCCCCUCUUUCGGUGCUGAAGAUGCGAUGGUCGGGGGGUCGGGGGCUGAGCGGUUAGGGGUUGUGACAUGCAGGG
This 250-nucleotide long non-coding RNA is filed under the name Elaeis guineensis (African oil palm). RNAcentral describes it as "long non-coding RNA (EGUI_LNC018116)". Lineage: Eukaryota; Viridiplantae; Streptophyta; Magnoliopsida; Arecales; Arecaceae. The record is from RNAcentral.